UUUCACAGGUUCCUUAGGACAAUCCUGAGAGGUAAGAAUAUUAUUCUUCCUGCUUUCAUUGCCUGCAGAGGUCGUGCCCCUAGGAGCAGCAGAAUUGGAGCUUCGGUUCGCACACUUGAUUCACUAUUUCUCCCUCUUGGAUCUUGUCUUCCCAAAACCUUGCAGGGUCGUGUGGGAAAGACAAUAUAUCUUCUUAUGCUGAGGAUGGAGCAAAACUCGGAGGGAAGAGCCGGGAGAACACAGAGCAGAGGAGAUGAGCCAGGUGGACUCUGCCUGAGGCCACACUGCAGAGACCUCUUUGAGUGAAGGACACCAACAGAUACAACAGGUGGUAAAGAAGACAAAAAUUUAAAGAGAUGAUGAUAGAAAACAAGAAGAAACACAGCAUGGAGGUUUGGAGGCUUGGUACGCCCUGAAGUCUCCCCUGGGUUUCUCCCACGGAAUGCCGAUUGUGCCAGAGCCAGAUGGCCUCCUCCACAAUUACAAGAGCCUUAUUCUAUUCCAGUCUCUCCUCCUGCCUGGAAAUUCUAACUACAUGUAAGCCUGUUCACAAGCAGUGGGUCCAGAACAGGCCCUGCACUUUCUGAGUAUUGACUGCCAGACUAAGUGAAGAGAAGGUCAGUUUCUCAGCAGGCCCGAGCCUGUCUCGAGUCUAGACCUGCCCAUCUCUUCUGUGAGUAUCUUGAAUAUUCACUGGUAUCGAGAUGCCUUAACCUAUUACCUGAGGACUUUGUGUGUGUGUAUUUUCUUGUGACCCUAUGGCCCUUCUUCCAUUUUGCUCCUAGACAAUGAGCCAUCUACUGGCUCAGAGUUUAAAAAAAAAAAAAAAAGAAGUGUUUUUCUGACUUAAGUUCAAAUAUAUAAAGCCUACAGGGAACAAGGCAUUCUCAGGAGAAUAGAUUUGAGAGGAUACGCAAUGACGCAGGAACAACAUUUCCCACUGCAAAGGAUCAUUUGAUGGGUCAAGAGCAGUAAGCGUCCCUGACUAUCAGAGGGGAUAUAAAAAACACGAGCUGCUGGUUUGUUUUGGAUGGGAGACAACAGCAAUCUCAGGGAAGUAGAGAUUGCUGCCCUUAGUCGCACUGAAAGCUUGAAGAGGCUUCAAGAUGUCAGAAUAGAAAUGGCUUUGGGGUGUGGCUACGGAGUUUGUCUAGAUGCAUGGGCCUGAGGCUGCCUCUGGAAUGCCCCCAGCCCAACUUGAUGGGCACCUAGGGAAUGAUUCCAGUAUGCUCAUGAAGAGCACAGAAUUGCUGAGGGCCCUUGGAUAGCCCCUCAAACUCCACCCCAGGACCAGUGACAUGCAAGGGCCUAGGAAGAACUUUGUCAGCAAGGAUAGUCAUUGGACCAGAAGGAGCCCUUUGGAUGGUUGCAAGAUGCAUCCAAGCAGCAGUCUGAGUACUUCAAUCCCUGCAGGCCAAUGGGACAACAGAUCUCAGUAGAUGCCAACCUGGAUACCUGUCUAUUUUUCCUAGCAUCUUGGCAUCU
This 1485-nucleotide long non-coding RNA is filed under the name Callithrix jacchus (white-tufted-ear marmoset). Its description in RNAcentral is "lncRNA (ENSCJAG00000082598.1)". The record is from RNAcentral. Lineage: Eukaryota; Metazoa; Chordata; Mammalia; Primates; Cebidae.